RNAcentral lists this ribosomal RNA (491 nucleotides) under uncultured bacterium. RNAcentral's name for it is "partial 16S ribosomal RNA". It matches the Rfam family "Bacterial small subunit ribosomal RNA", at positions 28 to 507 of the family's 1533-position model. The record is from RNAcentral.
GAUGAACGCUAGCUACAGGCUUAACACAUGCAAGUCGCGGGGCAGCAUGGGGUUUGCUUGCAACCCGUGAGGGCGACCGGCGCACGGGUGAGUAACGCGUAUCCAACCUGCCCUUCACCACGGGAUAACCCGGCGAAAUGCGGACUAAUACCGUAUGUUGUCCAUUGACGGCAUCCGAUUGGAAGGAAAGGCUGCGUGACGAAAGGAUGGGGAUGCGUAGUAUUAGCUUGAUGGUGGGGUAACGGCCCACCGUGGCGACGAUCGGUAGGGGUUCUGAGAGGAAGGUCCCCCAGACUGGAACUGAGACACGGCCCAGACUCCUACGGGCGGCAGCAGUGCGGCAUAUUGGUCAGUGGGCGUAAGCCUGAACCAGCCAAGUAGCGUGCAGGAUGACCGCACUAUGGGUCGUAAUCUGCUUUUAUGCGCGGAUAAAGUGGUCCACGUGUGGGCUUUUGAAGGUACCGCAUGAAUAAGGAACGGCUAAUUACGUG